RNAcentral lists this ribosomal RNA (392 nucleotides) under Dugong dugon (dugong). RNAcentral's name for it is "partial 12S ribosomal RNA". It matches the Rfam family "Bacterial small subunit ribosomal RNA", at positions 794 to 1384 of the family's 1533-position model. Lineage: Eukaryota; Metazoa; Chordata; Mammalia; Sirenia; Dugongidae. The record is from RNAcentral.
GCUUAGCCCUAAACCUCGAUAGCUUCCAACAAAGCUACCCGCCAGAGAACUACUAGCAAAAGCUUAAAACUCAAAGGACUUGACGGUGCUUCACAUCCCCCUAGAGGAGCCUGUCCCAUAAUCGAUAAACCCCGAUAAACCUCACCCCCACUUGCUAAUUCAGCCUAUAUACCGCCAUCUUCAGCCAACCCUUAAAAGGUGCAAAAGUAAGCUCAAUGAUAGCCAUAAAAAAGUUAGGUCAAGGUGUAGCCCAUGUGGAGGUCUAAGAUGGGCUACAUUUUCUCUUAGAGAACAAUCAACCAACGGACGUCACUAUGAAACAAGUGACCAAAGGAGGAUUUAGCAGUAAAUUAAGAAUAGAGAGCUUAAUUGAACUAGGCCAUGAAGCACGC